ACGCGUGGGAACGUACCUUUUGGUUCGGAACAACACAGGGAAACUUGUGCUAAUACCGGAUAAGCCCUUACGGGGAAAGAUUUAUCGCCGAGAGAUCGGCCCGCGUCUGAUUAGCUAGUUGGUGAGGUAACGGCUCACCAAGGCGACGAUCAGUAGCUGGUCUGAGAGGAUGAUCAGCCACAUUGGGACUGAGACACGGCCCAAACUCCUACGGGAGGCAGCAGUGGGGAAUAUUGGACAAUGGGCGCAAGCCUGAUCCAGCCAUGCCGCGUGAGUGAUGAAGGCCCUAGGGUUGUAAAGCUCUUUUGUGCGGGAAGAUAAUGACGGUACCGCAAGAAUAAGCCCCGGCUAACUUCGCGCCAGCAGCCGCGGUAAUACGAAGGGGGCUAGCGUUGCUCGGAAUCACUGGGCGUAAAGGGUGCGUAGGCGGGUCUUUAAGUCAGGGGUGAAAUCCUGGAGCUCAACUCCAGAACUGCCUUUGAUACUGAGGAUCUUGAGUUCGGGAGAGGUGAGUGGAACUGCGAGUGUAGAGGUGAAAUUCGUAGAUAUUCGCAAGAACACCAGUGGCGAAGGCGGCUCACUGGCCCGAUACUGACGCUGAGGCACGAAAGCGUGGGGAGCAAAC
This 625-nucleotide ribosomal RNA is filed under the name uncultured bacterium. RNAcentral's name for it is "bacterial SSU rRNA". It matches the Rfam family "Bacterial small subunit ribosomal RNA", at positions 113 to 773 of the family's 1533-position model. The record is from RNAcentral.